RNAcentral lists this ribosomal RNA (514 nucleotides) under uncultured bacterium. Its description in RNAcentral is "bacterial SSU rRNA". It matches the Rfam family "Bacterial small subunit ribosomal RNA", at positions 791 to 1301 of the family's 1533-position model. The record is from RNAcentral.
UAGUCCACGCCGUAAACGAUGAGUGCUAGGUGUUGGGGGCUUCCACCCUCAGUGCUGAAGUUAACACAUUAAGCACUCCGCCUGGGGAGUACGACCGCAAGGUUGAAACUCAAAGGAAUUGACGGGGGCCCGCACAAGCAGUGGAGCAUGUGGUUUAAUUCGAAGCAACGCGAAGAACCUUACCAGGUCUUGACAUCCUCUGCCACUCCUAGAGAUAGGACGUUCCCCUUCGGGGGACAGAGUGACAGGUGGUGCAUGGUUGUCGUCAGCUCGUGUCGUGAGAUGUUGGGUUAAGUCCCGCAACGAGCGCAACCCUUGAUCUUAGUUGCCAGCAUUCAGUUGGGCACUCUAAGGUGACUGCCGGUGACAAACCGGUAGGAAGGUGGGGACGACGUCAAAUCAUCAUAGCCCCUUAUGACCUGGGCUACACACGUGCUACAAUGGACGGUACAAAGGGCAGCGACACCGCGAGGUGAAGUCGAAUCCCAUAAAGCCGUUACUCAGUUCGGAUUGU